Molecule: unclassified non-coding RNA, 295 nt
Filed under: Hevea brasiliensis (rubber tree)
Lineage: Eukaryota; Viridiplantae; Streptophyta; Magnoliopsida; Malpighiales; Euphorbiaceae
Source: RNAcentral
GGAAGAUGUGCUACCCUCAUUUUAGCUCAUGUGGACACCAAAACUAUUUUAGACAUUUUGAGGCUCCUCUCGGGUUGUUAGGACAUCAAAAACACUAAAAGAAGACAUUAGAGCCACAAAUAUCAUCAAAUAAUAAGUAAGAAGCAAGAUUAAAGGCAAAAUAUAAAUGAUGGACCCUUUUGUGCAUUAAAGAUAAUCUAGGCCUAUAAGAGGCGAGAACUCAAUCACUCUUAACACCCUUUCACCAUCUAUCGAUGAGAGGACAUUAUGUCUCCCAACUCACACACAAAAGCAC